This 30-nucleotide non-coding RNA is filed under the name Mus musculus (house mouse). Lineage: Eukaryota; Metazoa; Chordata; Mammalia; Rodentia; Muridae. The record is from RNAcentral.
UGUUAAGAGCUGACUUAAUGGGGCUCUCAA